GUCGAAUGACUUGGAAAAGUCAGUCAAAGAGGGUAAAAACCCCGUAGACGAAAUGUGGAAGACACCUAGGAGGAUCCUGAGUACGGCGGAACACGAGAAAUUCCGUCGGAAUCCGGGAGGACCAUCUCCCAAGGCUAAAUACUCCCUAGUGACCGAUAGUGAACCAGUACCGUGAGGGAAAGGUGAAAAGCACCCCGGAAGGGGAGUGAAAUAGAACCUGAAACCGUGUGCCUACAACAAGUCAAAGCCCGUUAAUGGGUGAUGGCGUGCCUUUUGUAGAAUGAACCGGCGAGUUACGAUUGCAUGCGAGGUUAAGUUGAAGAGACGGAGCCGCAGCGAAAGCGAGUCUGAAUAGGGCGUUUGAGUAUGUAGUCGUAGACCCGAAACCAUGUGAUCUACCCAUGUCCAGGUUGAAGGUGCGGUAAAACGCACUGGAGGACCGAACCCACGUACGUUGAAAAGUGCGGGGAUGAGGUGUGGGUAGCGGAGAAAUUCCAAACGAACUUGGAGAUAGCUGGUUCUCUCCGAAAUAGCUUUAGGGCUAGCCUCGGAAUUGAGAAUGAUGGAGGUAGAGCACUGUUUGGACUAGGGGCCCAUCUCGGGUUACCGAAUUCAGAUAAACUCCGAAUGCCAUUCAUUCAUAUCCGGGAGUCAGACUGUGAGUGAUAAGAUCCAUAGUCGAAAGGGAAACAGCCCAGACCACCAGCUAAGGUCCCAAAAUAUAUGUUAAGUGGAAAAGGAUGUGGGGUUGCACAGACAACUAGG
Molecule: ribosomal RNA, 765 nt
Filed under: Enterococcus faecium
Lineage: Bacteria; Bacillati; Bacillota; Bacilli; Lactobacillales; Enterococcaceae
Also listed under: 1 other name
Description: partial 23S ribosomal RNA
Rfam family: Bacterial large subunit ribosomal RNA
Source: RNAcentral